RNA transcript from Quercus robur (English oak), 1890 nucleotides. RefSeq lists it as uncharacterized. The record is from RefSeq and is a predicted model, not a curated record. NCBI's taxonomy places the organism in Eukaryota, Viridiplantae, Streptophyta, Magnoliopsida, Fagales, Fagaceae. The transcript is spliced from 12 exons.
UACGCAUAUUCCCGUGACUCUUAACUGAUUAGCCAUUCACAGCCAACCACAUGAAACUAAAACCUCAUGUUUCUAACAUGGUAACCAACAUCACAAGAUCAUACAAGUAACUCUGUUCUGUCACUGGCAUCAUCAUCAAUACUCUUACAAAAUGGCUUCAAAAACCUUUCCAUUUGCAGUUCUAGCACAUGGGUGUUUUUCGUCACGCCCACCCACCUUAACUUCUAAUAAUAAGUCCUUUACUCCACAACCCAUCAAGCAUUUACGCUAUCUCUGUGUCAAUCACAGGUUGUCUGCAAAAGAUAAUGGACAUAUGUUGGUUUCCCACUUCUUCAAAUCCUCAACUUGGAGUAUUAGAAGCUUUCAACAGGAGAAUGCAGAGAGUUAUGAAGAUGCUAGAUCUCAAGAUAUUCUGGAUGAACAAGAUAGAUUAACUGAUGAGGUGAUUGGAAAUGAGAAUAAUGGACGUGGUUCAUUCCUGGCUAAAGUGGCAAUUGUGCUGGGCAUAGCUGCAACAGCCACGAUAAUAUCUAUUUGCCUCAAGUGGCCUGUUCUUGGAUCAUCGCUUGGAAUUCAAUUUCUGGCUGAAGGUUCAUCCUCUUCAGUAAUGGCUGCUCCCCCUGUUGGUUUCACUUUCAAAGCUUUUGGAUACAAUGUUGUACUUCCAGAAUAUGCACCAGGAUGGAUCUACUUUUGGUUACUUAUGGCUGCUGGGUGUGGACUUUUCAUUAGUGAAGAGGCUCUAAAUAUUUGGGUUGGCAUAACUUUAGCACGGUUGCUGACUUUGGAUGGGACAUGGCACUCUUUUACUGAAUCUUUCUCGAGAAAUGCUCCGUACAUAAUAUCCAGCAUUCUGUGGGUAUACUGGGGAGUUUGCAUCAGUGAUCUGAUACCAUUUUAUCUGGGGAAGCUUUUCAGGCAAUCAGGGGCAUCUGAUGAUGUUUGUUCGAGGUUAGGGAUUGGCAAAGAGAAGGCCUUAAACAUUACUCACACGGUGCAAAAAUAUCGCAAUUUCUCUGGCUUUGUAGAACGAUUUUCCCUAGGAGUGAGAAAUCCAACAGCUUUCCUAGCAGGGGCCAUGGGUAUUUCUCUAGAGUGCUUCUUUGCUGGAGUCUGUUGUGGUGGCUUGAUCACUCUUCCCCUUCAGUUAGGGAUUGGAUUCUUGUUGAGGGAGCAUCCUGUGGCUGCCCUUGCUACAGUUGCAACAGCAGUGGGAAUUUGGACUGUUUUCCCAUAUGCUGUGGCUGCUUCAACGGCAUUAUUCCUUUUCCUGCAACGCCACUACUCCUCCUAGAGCUCAUAGUUGUCUCUUGAUCAAGUAGCACUCAGAAAGAGAGGAUAGAAGCUAUCAAUUUGUACAUACUGAGAUAUGACUUCUAAUUCACAUUUUGUAGAUCAAUGUAAUAAUUGAAGAACAGUAAGGGACUUAUAUCUUCUUGGGGGCAACAAACACGAUCAACUUACGGGGCAGAAAAUUGACAAAUAUUACUGAGCAUAGAGUACAAGAUGAGCUUCAGUUUACCCAUAAGACCAAAUUGAAUGAGUCUGGAGUUCCUGAGUGGCUCAAUGGUUCUCUACCACAAAUGAGCUCCAAAAGAACAACCCCAAAGCUGUAGACGUCACUUUUCUCGGUCAACUGUUGGGUAGAAUAAUAUCUGCACAUGACAUUCAUUUUGAGCAUCAAAAUCAUCAAGAACCAAUAAAUAUCCUUUCUAUCUUUGGUUUUUUUUUUUUUUUUUUUGAAAACUUACUCAGGAUCUAGAUAGCCAGCAGUGCCCUUGACAACAGUUGUCACAUGAGUUGCAUCUGCCUGGGUUAUCUGUUUAGAGAGGCCAAAGUCACAGACCUUCGCAUUCAUUUCCAUGUCCAAAAGGAUAUUACUGCACUUCA